Molecule: transfer RNA, 68 nt
Filed under: Florometra sp. BMK-2020
Lineage: Eukaryota; Metazoa; Echinodermata; Crinoidea; Comatulida; Antedonidae
Description: tRNA-Gly
Rfam family: tRNA
About the family: Transfer RNA (tRNA) molecules are approximately 80 nucleotides in length. Their secondary structure includes four short double-helical elements and three loops (D, anti-codon, and T loops).
Source: RNAcentral
AUCUUAUUAGUAUUAUAGUACAUUUGACUUCCAAUCAAAAAGACUUAGUUUAAACCUAAGAUAAGAUA